UACGGAGGGUGCGAGCGUUAAUCGGAAUUACUGGGCGUAAAGGGUGCGUAGGUGGUUUGAUAAGUUAUCUGUGAAAGCCCUGGGCUCAACCUGGGAAGGCCAGAUAAGACUGUUAGACUGGAGUAUGGGAGAGGGUAGUGGAAUUUCCGGUGUAGCGGUGAAAUGCGUAGAGAUCAUGAGGAAGACCAGUGGCGAAGGCGGGUCUCUGGACAGUUCCUGACACUGAGACACGAAGGCCAGGGGAGCAAACGGG
RNAcentral lists this ribosomal RNA (253 nucleotides) under uncultured bacterium. RNAcentral's name for it is "partial 16S ribosomal RNA". It matches the Rfam family "Bacterial small subunit ribosomal RNA", at positions 524 to 776 of the family's 1533-position model. The record is from RNAcentral.